CAGGAAGUUAGCGGUGAGCCCAGCA
This 25-nucleotide non-coding RNA is filed under the name Mus musculus (house mouse). The record is from RNAcentral. Lineage: Eukaryota; Metazoa; Chordata; Mammalia; Rodentia; Muridae.